GCAAACUAAAGAUGGCGACCGGCGCACGGGUGAGUAACACGUAUCCAACCUGCCGAUAACUCGGGGAUAGCCUUUCGAAAGAAAGAUUAAUAUCCGAUAGCAUAUUAGAACCGCAUGGUUUUACUAUUAAAGAACUUCGGUUAUCGAUGGGGAUGCGUUCCAUUAGUUUGUUGGCGGGGUAACGGCCCACCAAGACUACGAUGGAUAGGGGUUCUGAGAGGAAGGUCCCCCACAUUGGAACUGAGACACGGUCCAAACUCCUACGGGAGGCAGCAGUGAGGAAUAUUGGUCAAUGGACGAGAGUCUGAACCAGCCAAGUAGCGUGAAGGAUGACUGCCCUAUGGGUUGUAAACUUCUUUUAUAUGGGAAUAAAGUAUUCCACGUGUGGGAUUUUGUAUGUACCAUAUGAAUAAGGAUCGGCUAACUCCGUGCCAGCAGCCGCGGUAAUACGGAGGAUCCGAGCGUUAUCCGGAUUUAUUGGGUUUAAAGGGAGCGUAGGUGGAUUGUUAAGUCAGUUGUGAAAGUUUGCGGCUCAACCGUAAAAUUGCAGUUGAUACUGUCAGUCUUGAGUACAGUAGAGGUGGGCGGAAUUCGUGGUGUAGCGGUGAAAUGCUUAGAUAUCACGAAGAACUCCGAUUGCGAAGGCAGCUCACUGGACUGCAACUGACACUGAUGCU
Molecule: ribosomal RNA, 677 nt
Filed under: uncultured Bacteroidales bacterium
Lineage: Bacteria; Pseudomonadati; Bacteroidota; Bacteroidia; Bacteroidales
Description: bacterial SSU rRNA
Rfam family: Bacterial small subunit ribosomal RNA
Source: RNAcentral